Molecule: transfer RNA, 74 nt
Filed under: Calothrix sp. NIES-4105
Lineage: Bacteria; Bacillati; Cyanobacteriota; Cyanophyceae; Nostocales; Calotrichaceae
Also listed under: 1 other name
Description: tRNA-Gln
Rfam family: tRNA
About the family: Transfer RNA (tRNA) molecules are approximately 80 nucleotides in length. Their secondary structure includes four short double-helical elements and three loops (D, anti-codon, and T loops).
Source: RNAcentral
UUGCCCUGUGGUGUAAUUGGCAACACACCUCUUUUUGACAGAGGCGUUCUGGGUUCAAGGCCUAGCGGGGCAGA